AUUGAACGCUGGCGGCAGGCCUAACACAUGCAAGUCGAAUGGUAACAGGAAACAGCUUGCUGUUUCGCUGACGAGUGGCGGACGGGUGAGUAAUGUCUGGGAAACUGCCUGAUGGAGGGGGAUAACUACUGGAAACGGUAGCUAAUACCGCAUAACGUCGCAAGACCAAAGAGGGGGACCUUCGGGCCUCUUGCCAUCAGAUGUGCCCAGAUGGGAUUAGCUAGUAGGUGGGGUAACGGCUCACCUAGGCGACGAUCCCUAGCUGGUCUGAGAGGAUGACCAGCCACACUGGAACUGAGACACGGUCCAGACUCCUACGGGAGGCAGCAGUGGGGAAUAUGGCACAAUGGGCGCAAGCCUGAUGCAGCCAUGCCGCGUGUAUGAAGAAGGCCUUCGGGUUGUAAAGUACGUUCAGCGGGGAGGAAGGGAGUAAAGUUAAUACCUUGGCUCAUUGACGUUACCCGCAGAAGAAGCACCGGCUAACUCCGUG
This 490-nucleotide ribosomal RNA is filed under the name uncultured bacterium. RNAcentral's name for it is "partial 16S ribosomal RNA". It matches the Rfam family "Bacterial small subunit ribosomal RNA", at positions 30 to 507 of the family's 1533-position model. The record is from RNAcentral.